GAUGAAGAACGUAGCGAAAUGCGAUAAGUAAUGUGAAUUGCAGAAUUCAGUGAAUCAUCGAAUCUUUGAACGCACAUUGCGCCCGCCAGUAUUCUGGCGGGCAUGCCUGUCCGAGUGUCAUUUCAACCCUCGAACCCCUCCGGGGGGUCGGCGUUGGGGAUCGGCCCUGCCUCUUGGCGGUGGCCGUCUCCGAAAUACAGUGGCGGUCUCGCCGCAGCCUCUCCUGCGCAGUAGUUUGCACACUCGCAUCGGGAGCGCGGCGCGUCCACAGCCGUUAAACACCCAACUUCUGAAAUGUUGACCUCGGAUCAGGUAGGAAUACCCGCUGAACUUAAGCAUAUCAAUAAGCGGAGGA
RNAcentral lists this unclassified non-coding RNA (355 nucleotides) under soil metagenome. Its description in RNAcentral is "partial contains 5.8S ribosomal RNA, internal transcribed spacer 2, and large subunit ribosomal RNA". The stretch from base 1 to 120 matches the Rfam family "5.8S ribosomal RNA", at positions 35 to 154 of the family's 154-position model. The record is from RNAcentral.